UUUCAACAACGGAUCUCUUGGUUCUGGCAUCGAUGAAGAACGCAGCGAAAUGCGAUAAGUAAUGUGAAUUGCAGAAUUCAGUGAAUCAUCGAAUCUUUGAACGCACAUUGCGCCCCUCGGAGUUCCGGGGGGCAUG
RNAcentral lists this ribosomal RNA (136 nucleotides) under Lepraria friabilis. RNAcentral describes it as "5.8S ribosomal RNA". It matches the Rfam family "5.8S ribosomal RNA", at positions 4 to 139 of the family's 154-position model. Rfam says of the family: 5.8S ribosomal RNA (5.8S rRNA) is a component of the large subunit of the eukaryotic ribosome. It is transcribed by RNA polymerase I as part of the 45S precursor that also contains 18S and 28S rRNA. Functionally, it is thought that 5.8S rRNA may be involved in ribosome translocation. The record is from RNAcentral. Lineage: Eukaryota; Fungi; Ascomycota; Lecanoromycetes; Lecanorales; Stereocaulaceae.